GUGCUUUUUUUCCUCCCUAUUCUCUCACUCAGCAUCAACAAAGAAUACUUCUAUGGUUUUCCCCCACAUACCAACCAAGCAGUUCUGCCUUCGAUACCACCUGGGUGUCCUGUAAUUCAGUUCAAUUCUGAUACUAUCUAACUGGAGAUAACAUCACAUCUCACAGAUUGAGGGCUCAGUCCCACAAGACUGCCCCCACUUAAGUGCCAGUCACAUAGUAGGUUGUCACCUAUACUUCUCUGAUAGACUGGCUGUAAAUUGGACACUCUUGGGUUUGAUUAAUUUGCUAGAAUGGCUCACAGAACUCUAGGAAACACUUUAUGUUUCUCGGUUUAUGAUAAAGAUAUUACGAAGACUAUAGAUGAACAGUCAGAUGGACUAGAUGCAUAGAGUGAGGUGUGGGAGAAGGGGUUCCAAAUUUCUGUGGCUUCUCUGGGGCACCACCCUCCAGGAACCUCCACAUAUUCAUUUGUCUGGAAGCUCUCCAAACUGUGUUCUUUUGGCUUUUCAUGAAGGCUCACUGCAUAGGCAUGAUUGAUUACAUCACUGGCCAUUAUCCCCUCUCUCCUUCUGGAGGUUGGGGUGUGGAACUGAAAGUCUCAACCUUCUAAUCAGGCUUUAGUCUUUUCAGUGACCAGCCCCCAUCUUGAAGCUAUCUAGGAGUCAUUUUAUUAACAUACAAAAGGCACUCUUGGCUGGGCACCUCAUGCCUGUAAUCCCAGCACUUUGGGAGGCUGAGGUGGGCAGAUCACCUGAGGUCUGGAGUUCGAGACUAGCACGGCCAAUAUGGCAAAACCCCAUCUCUGCCAAAAAUACAAAAAUUAGCCAGGCGUGGUGGCGGGCGCCUGUACUCCCAGCUACUUGGGAGGCUGAAGCAGGGAGAAUUGCUUGAACCCAAGAGGCGGAGGUUGCAGGGAGCUGAGAUCGCAUCACUGCACUCCAGCCUGGGUGACAGAGUGAGACUCCGUCUCAAAAAACAAAAACAAAAAACAAAAGGUACUCUUAUCAUUCUACAGAAUCCAAGGCUUUUAGGAGCUGUGUGUCAGGAAAGGAGAGGAAAAAAAUAUAUUCACAGUAUUAUAGGAAAUGGUAUGUAUAAGAUAAUAUUGAGUGAAAAAAAAUCAGGUUAUAGGACAGUGGGUGUAUGAUUUUAUCUACGUGAAGUGUUUUCCUCCAGCAUAUUGUCUUGUGUAUUGUUUUGUAUAUAUCCUGUACAGACAUGAUUCUGGAAAGAAGUUCACCCAGAUGUUAACAGUGAUACAAUAAGUGGAGUUUUAGUAGAAUUUGAAAAUUUUAUGCUAUACAUAUCUUAGCUUUAGAAUUACAAAAUAGUGGCUGGGUGCGGUGGUUCACGCCUGUAAUCCCAGCACUUUGGGAGGCCGAGGUGGGUGGAUCACGAGGUCAGGAGAUCGAGACCAUCCUAGCUAACAUGGUGAAACCCUGUCUCUACUAAAAAUACAAAAAAAAAAACUAGCCGGGCGUGGUGGCGCAUGCCUGUAAUCCCAGCUACUCGGGAGGCUGAGGCAGGAGAAUCGCUUGAACCCGGAAGGUGGAGGUUGCAGUGAGCCGAGAUCAUGCCACUGCACUCCAGCCUGGGCAACAGAGAGAGACUCCAUCUCAAAAACAAAACAAAACAAAAUAGUUUUUAAAAAUGUUUUUUAAAAAAUUUGAAAUGCUAUCAAAUUUACAGAAAAGAUGCAAGAAGUGUAUAAAUAAUUUUUUUCUCCAAACUAUUUGAGAUUGUGAACCCCAAAUAUCUGAGAUAGUCUCAAUUAAUUUAGAAAGUUAAUUUUGGGCUUGGCGUGUUGGCUCACGCCUGUAAUCCCAGCAUCGUGGGAGGCCGAGGUGGGUGGAUCUCUUGAGGUCAGGAGUUCGAGACCAGCCUGAGCAACGUGGUGAAACCCUGUCUCUACUAAAAAUACAAAAAAAUUAGCCAGGUGUGGUGGCAGGCGCCUGUAGUCCCAGCUACUUGGGAGGCUGAAGCAGGAGAAUCACCUGAACCUGGGAGGCAGAGGUUGCAGUGAGCCGGGAUUGCACCACUGCACUCCAGUCUGGGUGACAGAGCGAGACUCCAUCUCAAAAAAAAAAAAAAAAAGAAAGUUUAUUUUGCCAAGGCUGAGGACACAUGCCUCUGGAGGUCCUGAUGACAUGCGUCCAAGGUGGUCAGAGCACAGUUGGUUUUAUAAAUUUUCGGGAGACAUGAGACAUCAAUCAACAUAUGUAAGAUGUAUGUUGGUUCCAUCCAGAUAGGUGGGACAGCUCAAGUAGGGAGGGGCUUCCAGGUCACAGAUAGGUGAGAGACAGGUAGGUGAGAGACACAGGUAGGUGCAUUCUUUUGAGUUUCUGAUUAGCCUUUCCGAAGGAGCAAUCAGAUAUGCGUUUAUCUUACUGAGCAGAGGGAUGACUUUGAAUAGAAUGGGAGGCAGGUUUGCCCGAAGCAGUUUCCAGCUUGACUUAUCCCUUUAGUUUAAUGAUUUUGGGGUCCCAAGACUUACUUUCCUUUCACAAGAUUAAGUUGCAGAUAUGAUAGUCCCAACCCCUUGAAACUUUGUAUUUCCUAUGAACCAGGAUAAUCUCCUAUAUAACCACAAUAUAAAACUAUUAAAAUUAAAAUGUUAACACUGAUACAUUACUACCAGCUAAUUCUCAGACCCCAUUCAAGUUUUACCAGUUGUCCCAAUAAUUUCCUUUACUGAAAGGAUUUAGUUCAGUCCUGCAUUUAUGGCUAUAUCUAUUUACCCUCCUUCAUCCUGGAACAGUUCCUCAAUCUUUCCUGAUCUUUGGAAGAUUCAGACCAGUUAUUUGGUAAAAUGUUCUUCAAUUUGAGUUUGUCUUGAAGUAUUCUCGUAAUUUGAUUCAGGUCUUGCAUCUUUGGGAGGAAUAUCACAGAAGUAAUGCUGUGUUCUUAUUGUUACAUUUUACAGGUGGCACAUGGUUUUCAUUUGUUCUGUUACUGAUGAUAUUCACUUUGGUCAUUCAUUAAGGUAGUAUCUGCCAGGGCUCUCCACUUUAAAAUUACUCUUUUUUUACCCCUUUGUAAUUAAUAAACAUUGCAAAAUAUUAGGAACCCCCAUGUUGAUUUAUUUCAUUACUGCUGAUGUUAACUUUCCUUACUUGGUUAAGGUUGUUUUUGUCACUGUAAAGUUACAGGUUUUCCUAUUGUAAUUAUAAAUAUCUUAUUAGGAGAUACCUUGAAAAUAUGUGAAUAACCAGUGUACUCAGCAAACUUUUACCCACUAGUUUAGCAUCCAUUGAUGAUUCUUUUCUGAUCAAUUAUUAUUAUGAUGCAUGCCAAAUAGUGGCUUUCUAAUUCCAUCAUUUCUACUUUUAUUAAUUGGCUUUCUACUUGAGGAAGAGCUUUCUCUCCUCUCCCAUUUACGUAUUUAUAUAUAUAUAAAUUUAUAUACACAUAUAUAUAUGUAAAUACAUACAGAAUACACACUGGGUGUAUUCUUACAUUCUUAUUUUAUACAACAAGAUACAUUCCUUUACUAUCAUAAUUUACUUUGAUGCUUAAGUUUUCCCCGAUUUGGCUAGUGGGAGCCUCUUCAAGCUGCUUCUGGGUCCUUAUUAAAUGCCGCAUGUUUGCUUAAAUACUUCCUUUCUGGUAUAGUAAGUUGUUCAGGGCUCAUCUUAUCCUUUUCCUGCUCUGGACCUGAAAUGAAACCACUUAGGAGCCCUGUUUCCUUUUAGCCUUGGUUCUACCAAGAAGAUAAUGCUUCAUGUGCACCCUUACCCUGGGUGUCAUUAAUUCUAGGUCCCAGCGGAUGGAGCUAAGAAGAAGAUGUAUGUGCAUAUAUAUGUAUCUAUAGAUGUAUAUAAAAUCAUAAGUAUAUGUGUGUGCAUAUAUGUCUGCAUACUCCAAUAUGCAUCUAUAUCUCUAUUAAAAUAAAAAAAAUUUUAUAUUAAAA
Molecule: long non-coding RNA, 3911 nt
Filed under: Homo sapiens (human)
Lineage: Eukaryota; Metazoa; Chordata; Mammalia; Primates; Hominidae
Description: HSALNT0209809
Source: RNAcentral